This is a non-coding RNA of Pelobates cultripes (western spadefoot toad), 290 nucleotides long. Lineage: Eukaryota; Metazoa; Chordata; Amphibia; Anura; Pelobatidae. The record is from the annotation of a GenBank genome assembly.
CUCUAUUUUAAGACUGUCCUCUUGUUGUGGUAGUUUUUCUUCUUUUAAAUAUGAGGUGCUGAGCAGUGAUAAUAGCCCUUCCCCUUCCAGUAACUAGACAACACAUAGUUCUGGGAGUACAACUGAUUUUAAUCAGGCAAACUCUGCCUUUUAUGCACAGACCCCAGCAGUGGGUCUCCAUUGUAUUUAGCACAAUCACCUCCCAAGAAUCUCUGGGCCUGAGAGAUAAUUGCGUUAAAGUUAAUUAUCUCCCAGGAACAGAGAGAAAAACACAAAAAUAUAAAACAUAA